GUAUAAAACAACCUCCGAACGAUUAUAACCAAGAUUAACAAAUCGAAGUAAUCAUAAUCUAAUUGACCCAAUUUUUUGAUCAACGGACCA
Molecule: ribosomal RNA, 90 nt
Filed under: Phenacomys intermedius (western heather vole)
Lineage: Eukaryota; Metazoa; Chordata; Mammalia; Rodentia; Cricetidae
Description: partial large subunit ribosomal RNA
Source: RNAcentral